Long non-coding RNA from Sinocyclocheilus anshuiensis, 189 nucleotides. RefSeq lists it as uncharacterized. The transcript has 3 exons. The record is from RefSeq and is a predicted model, not a curated record. Lineage: Eukaryota; Metazoa; Chordata; Actinopteri; Cypriniformes; Cyprinidae.
UUGCAGAUGAGCACAUCACAACAUGAACAGACAUCUGAGCGAGUGAUGUAUGUGUGCUAUUAUAGUACUCACGGUCAACACUGCUUUAGAUGAAUGAACAGAUGAGACACACGUGUGUUUAUCUGCUGCAGAGUGACUGAUGAAGGACUGAUGAAUGCUUUAAAGCUUUUGUGGAGGAGCAGGACCUGC